This 71-nucleotide transfer RNA is filed under the name Blastocystis sp. ATCC 50177/Nand II. Its description in RNAcentral is "tRNA-Trp". It matches the Rfam family "tRNA". Rfam says of the family: Transfer RNA (tRNA) molecules are approximately 80 nucleotides in length. Their secondary structure includes four short double-helical elements and three loops (D, anti-codon, and T loops). RNAcentral also lists the same sequence under 1 other name. The record is from RNAcentral. Lineage: Eukaryota; Bigyra; Opalinata; Blastocystidae.
AAGAGUAUAAUUUAAAGGUAAAAUAUUGAUCUCCAAAAUCAACAUUAAGGGUUCAAGUCCCUUUUCUCUUG